GACGAAUUGUCAGUCGCGGUCCAACAUACGGCACGCAACGCAAAGAGCGCGAGAAAAAUUCAAAAUGCGUUGCUUAUCACUGCCACAAUUAUUUUAUAAUUAGUUUAUAAUAAUCGAUUUUAUACACGAAAACGAAAGCUUCUCGGCAGCUAUUUGAAUUUAUGAGUAGUCGUCCUUAUUAUUUAUGUGCGCUUACCUAAUUUUCACUUUCGUUCGUAGCUAAAUUAAUUCAAAAUGUGUAGGUGCGGAGUGCUAAUUUCUAGUGUUUUUGUGAUAGUGUCAAAUGUAUUAUUAGUGACUAGUUUUAACAUCGAUACCUUCAAUUAUGUACAACACAAGGGACAAAAUCGGUCCAUGUUUGGGUUUAGUGUUGCGACUCAUAAAGAACAGGGAAGAAGUUGGUAAGUUGCGCUCGUCCGCAUUUAAAUUGUAAUUGUUACGAAAACGCUAUUCAGCAAAAGAUGUUUCUGCAUUUACCUACCUAUACACUUUCAGUUGUCUUCAGACAUAAAUUUAGUUUGCACACGUGCGUUUGAGCGGUGGAAACAGUACGAACGAAAAUAUCCCGUGAAAUAUAGGUUUUUACUUGCUUUUAACGUCAGCUCGUGUGUAAAAAUAAACCCAAAUAAAAAGUAGCACUUUUUUGAUAACUUACACGAAAAAAGUUGUCGGACAACAUCUUUCCCUUUCGUUUCGGGCGGGCGCCUUUGCUUUGCGAGGAUGCAACACCAGUGCCAUUCGCUAAAUAUAAUUCGGAACGGGUGCGACCGAUUCUUGCAAGAUUAAAAGGAUUGGCUAUUCAUCUCUAAAUUGCGAUUAAUGAUGUAACCUACAUUUGCAGCGCUCUAUCCGUCAAAUUCUAUUAACGCGAAUUCUAUCCUUGAGCUGUAAUUGCACACGUAUAAUUAGUACUUUACCCAUGAAUGAAAGUUCCACCCACGUAGGCACUUCCUAAACGGAUCAUUCCUGGCGUAGUUUUUUUUUUAGUAAACCGGUUCCUACUUUUCACAACACGGAAGUCAGAUUGACAAAAAUUUGUUAAUCGGUAAAGGAAACGGAACUGCAUGAGAUGGGCAACCUUUGAUCGCAUGGAUUUACUUUUCCAGCUUCUCACGUUUGUCAUUUUUUGCGUAUCAAAAAAUUCACGCAUAUCCUCAAACCUAAAAACCUCCGCUACGCUCAUCUAAACUGUACAAGCACAAAGGUCCAUCCUCGCCUUUACUUAUCCAUUCAAUUAUAAUUCCGUAAUAACCAUCAGAGUCGUUUUAUCCAAAUUAAAAUCUUUCUGGUUGAUAUUCGUAAACCUUUUUUUUAAACCCGUAUUGUCUUUACACAGCAAUUUUGUAGGGAGUUGAUUUUCCAUUGAACGCACCAACGUAUAUUUGUGGGCCAGCUCUCACAAAAGGCGUGAUUGAUGGUCGAAAUGAAUAAAUAAAUUAUAUAGUUCAACGACUGCAAUAAAAACCUUGGAAAAAUGUGAUAAUUUUUAACUAAUUGAAGAUAAUGACCGUUUACUGUUUUCUAACACGCAAAUCAUCAAGCGCUUUCG
Photinus pyralis (common eastern firefly) is the source of this 1549-nucleotide long non-coding RNA. RefSeq lists it as uncharacterized. The record is from RefSeq and is a predicted model, not a curated record. The transcript is spliced from 3 exons. NCBI's taxonomy places the organism in Eukaryota, Metazoa, Arthropoda, Insecta, Coleoptera, Lampyridae.